UACGGAGGGUGCAAACGUUGCUCGGAAUCAUUGGGCGUAAAGCGCACGUAGGCGGUCCAGCAAGUCGGGUGUGAAAGCCCUCGGCUUAACCGAGGAAGUGCAUUCGAAACUACUGGGCUUGAGUACUGAAGAGGAUCGCGGAAUUCCCGGUGUAGAGGUGAAAUUCGUAGAUAUCGAGAGGAACACCGGUGGCGAAGGCGGCGAUCUGGACGAUGACUGACGCUGAGACGCGAAAGCGUGGGGAGCAAACAGG
Molecule: ribosomal RNA, 253 nt
Filed under: uncultured bacterium
Lineage: Bacteria
Description: partial 16S ribosomal RNA
Rfam family: Bacterial small subunit ribosomal RNA
Source: RNAcentral